This is a long non-coding RNA of Pan troglodytes (chimpanzee), 3122 nucleotides long. RefSeq lists it as uncharacterized. NCBI's taxonomy places the organism in Eukaryota, Metazoa, Chordata, Mammalia, Primates, Hominidae. The transcript is spliced from 3 exons. The record is from RefSeq and is a predicted model, not a curated record.
AACACCUAGGGAAGAAAUGAUGCUUGUCACUUGCAGCUGAGGGGACAGAGAGUCCUAGGCAGAAGGACAGCUCAAGCAAAGGCUGAGACAGGAGCAAUCUCAGCCCCAGGAAGAGGAAAGUGGCCCAUGUGGUUGGAGCAGUGGAAGAAAGGAGGGCACAGGGGGGCUCACUGAGGCUCACAGCGGGAGACAUUUCACCAAGUUAUCCUGAGAAGCUCUGAGGUCACAGAGCAGCGUGGCAACUGGGAUUACAGAGCGAGACUCCAUCUCAAAAAAAGAAAGAAAGAAAAAAGCAUUGUCAAAACCUAAUAACUGCAACACUAUAUCCUGAGCAGCUGAAUCUGCAAUCAUCUUUUUAAGAGACUUCUGUAACCAAGCUAUAAAAUCAACGUAUGGUUCUCUUGGUCCCUGUUUCAUAGCACUAAAGGAAGGGUACUGUUCUCCACAUGAAGUGAUUUGUUCCCAAGCUCUAAUGCACACUCCUCUAAGCUGUUCUGUGGCAUCAUCCUGCAUGACCAGUUGUGCACCUAAGCCAGCCCAGCCGCCAACCCCCAAAAGCUGGUCUGCAGUUAUAUUAAUUUGAGGUUGGGCCUGGGCAUUGCGAGCAGCCUGAAUGGAAGCUUCAUCUGCCCACCAAGUUUUAAAUUGUAAGAACUGAGCAGGAGUUAGAUAAGCUCAAGUAAGACAGUCCCAGUCAGUAGGUAUCAUCCGACUGGAAACAGCAACAUUCUUUAAUAGUCCCAUUACAAAAGGAGAACCUGGUCCAUACUGAUUUAUAAUUUGUUUAAAUUCUUUGAGUAAUUUAAAAAGAAAAGGCUCAAAUGUAGCUGUAAUAUUUCCCUGUUGAUCUGGGGGGUAUACUCGAACAGGGAACUGCCAAGUCUCUAAAUCACCCUCUCUUCUAGCUUGCUGAAUUCCUGCCUGAAUAGAACUAAGAGCGAUUGCUUGAGGCACUGCUCAAACAGUCACUGGGGCAACUCCUUUUCACCCAGUGUUCUCCAGAAAAGAAAGAUCUGGAAGGUCAUUUUCUUCAAAAUAAUAAUGAGGGGGUGCAGAAAGGUAGGGAUGAACCUCUUCCUCUUUUGCCGCUUUAGCUUUAGCUGGCAAAUAAACCUGCUCUGUAACCUCUUCUGUCACUUCCUCCUCAUCAUAACUGUGAAUAAGUUCCAAGGUGGAACGAACCAGACCCCACACCUGUCCCACUGUUACCCUGAGGCUUCUGAGCUCCUGUUGUUACUCACCACAGGGAUUGCUUUAAGAGUACUUGGGUGUCCUCCAGCUAGUUUUCCAUUCCAACUGUUGCUCCGGUGACCCUUCAACCUGGAUUCGAGCCCCCACGAAGGUACGCCACUUGCCGAGACCAGCUCGGUCAGGGAGACCCUAACCCAGUGGUGCUACAGGAAUGAAAGACACACACACAGAAAUAUAGAGGUGUGAAGUAGGAAAUCAGGGGUCUCACAGCCUUCAGAGCUGAGAGUCCCGAACAGAGAUUUACCCACGCAUUUAUUAACAGCAAACCAGUCAUUAGCAUUCUUUCUAUAGACAUUAAAUUAACUAAAAGUAUUCCUUAUGGGAAACGAAGGGAUGGGCCAAAUUAAAGGAAUAGGUUGGGCUACUUAACUGCAGCAGGAGCAUGUCCUUAAGGCACACAUCUCUCAUGCUAUUGUUUGUGGCUUAAGAAUGGCUUUAAGUGGUUUUCCACCCUGGGCUGGCCAGGUGUUCCUUGCCCUCAUUCCCGUAAACCCACAACCUUCCAGCAUGGGUGUUAGGGCCAUUAUGAACAUGUUACACUGCUACAGAGAUUUUGUUUUUGGGGGGCUUGCUCCCAACAAGUUUGGCCUUCCCACCUCUAUACAUUCCAAUAACGGACCAGCCUUUAUUAGGCAAAUCACCCAAGCAGUUUCUCAGGCUCUUGGUAUUCAGAGGAACCUUCAUACUCUUUACCGUCCUCAAUCUUCAGAAAAGGCAGAAUGGACUAAUGGUCUUUUAAAAACACACCUCACCAAGCUCAGCCACCAACUUAAAAAGGACUGGACAAUACUAUUACCACUUGCCCUUCUCAGAAUUAGGGCCUGUCCUUGAAAUGCUACGGGGUACAGCCCAUUUGAGCUCCUGUGUGAAUGCUCCUUUUUAUUAGGCCCCAGUAUCAUUCCAGACACCAGAGCAACUUGGAAUGUGCCCCAAAAAACUUGUCAUCCCUAAUAUCUUCUGUCUAGUCAUACUUCUGUCUAGUCUAUUCACCCUUCUCAACUACUCAUAAAUGCCCUGCUCUUCUUUACACUGCCAGUUUACACUGUUUCUCCAAGCCAUCACAGCUGGUAUCUCCUGGUGCUAUCCCCAAACCACCACUCUUAACUCUUAAAGUAAAUAAAUAAUCUUUGCUGGCAAGGCUAUGCUGAACCUCCUUAGGCACUCUCUAAUUGGAUGUCCUGGGUCCUCCCAAUUCUUAGUCUUUUAAUACCUGUUUUUCUCCUUCUCUUAUUCUGUUUAGUUUUCAAUUCAUACAAAACUGUAUCCAGGCCAUCACCAAUAACUGUAUAUGACAAAUGUUUCUUCUACCAACCCCACAAUAUCACCCCUUACCACAAAAUCUUCCUUCAGCUUAGUCUCUCCCACUCUAGGUUUGCACGCCGCCCCUAAUCCCUCUCAAAGCAGCCCUGAGAAACAUUGCCCAUUCUCUCUCCAUACCACCCCCAAAAAUUUUUGCCGCUCCAAGACUUCAACACUAUUUUGUUUUAUUUUUUAUUUAAUAUAAGAAGACAGGAAUGUCAGGCCUCUGAGCCCAAGUUAAGCCAUCAUAUCGCCUGUGACCUGCAGGUACACAUCCAGAUGGCCUGAAGUAACUGAAGAAUCACAAAAGGAGUGAAAAUGGCCUGUUCCUGCCUUAACUGAUGACAUUACUUUGUGAAAUUCCUUCUCCUGGCUCAGCCUGGCUCAAAAGCUCCCCCACUGAGCACCUUGUGACCCCCGGCCCUGCCCUCAAGAGAACAACCCCCUUUGGCUGUAAUUUUCCUUUAUGUACCCAAAUCCUAUAAAACAGCCCCACCCCUAUCACUCCCGCUGAUUCUCUUUUUGGACUCAGCCUGCCUGCACCCAGGUGAAAUAAACAGCCUUGUUGAUCA